AGGGUUUGAUCCUGGCUCAGCGCGAACGCUGGCGGCAUGGUUAAAGCAUGCAAGUCGAACGAUUAAAGCCCCUUCGGGGGUGUAUACAGUGGCGUAAGGGCGAGGAAUACGUUCCUACGUACCCCGAGGUCGAGGACAGCCCAGGGAAACCCGGAGUAAUACUCGAUGUGGUCCGCCGCAAGGCGGAUCAAAGGCUUCGGCCGCCUUGGGAGCGGGGAACGUCCUAUCAGGUUGUUGGUGGGGUAACGGCUCACCAAGCCGAAGACGGGUAGCGGGUGUGAGAGCACGAACCGCUGCAUCGGGACUGAGACACUGCCCGGACUCCUACGGGAGGCUGCAGCAACGAAUCUUCCGCAAUGCGCGAAAGCGUGACGGAGCAAUGCCGCGUGCAGGAUGAAGCCCUUCGGGGUGUAAACUGCUGUCAGGGUUUAGCAACCCAAUGAGCAAACCCAAAGGAAGGGCCGGCUAACUUCGUGCCAGCAGCCGCGGUAAUACGAAGGGCCCGAGCGUUGCGCGAAAUCACUGGGCUUAAAGCGUACGUAGGCGGGCACGCAGGCACCUUGUGAAAUCCCUUGGCUCAACCAAGGAAUUGCUUGGUGAACCGCGUGCCUUGAGGCAAGUAGAGGCUGUCGGAACGAUAGGUGGAGCGGUGAAAUGCGUUGAUAUCUAUCGGAACGUCGAAGGCGAAGGCAGGCAGCUGGGCUUGUUCUGACGCUGAGGUACGAAAGCGUGGGGAGCGAACGGGAUUAGAUACCCCGGUAGUCCACGCCGUAAACGAUGUGCACUAGACCGAGGGGGUUCUGACGCCAUUCUCGGUCGAAGCAAAAGUGUUAAGUGCACCGCCUGGGGAGUACGGUCGCAAGGCUAAAACUCAAAGGAAUUGACGGGGGCUCACACAAGC
RNAcentral lists this ribosomal RNA (901 nucleotides) under uncultured bacterium. RNAcentral's name for it is "bacterial SSU rRNA". It matches the Rfam family "Bacterial small subunit ribosomal RNA", at positions 8 to 930 of the family's 1533-position model. The record is from RNAcentral.